GGUGCAGUGGCCAAGCGGAAAGGCAUCACUCUUGUAAACCUAAAAUCAUCGGUUCAACCCCCAUCUGUGCCU
Gymnothorax javanicus (giant moray) is the source of this 72-nucleotide non-coding RNA. The record is from the annotation of a GenBank genome assembly. NCBI's taxonomy places the organism in Eukaryota, Metazoa, Chordata, Actinopteri, Anguilliformes, Muraenidae.